Molecule: small RNA, 28 nt
Filed under: Bombyx mori (domestic silkworm)
Lineage: Eukaryota; Metazoa; Arthropoda; Insecta; Lepidoptera; Bombycidae
Description: ovarian small RNA-13881
Source: RNAcentral
CCGCUAGGUACUUACGACUUACCACGCG